Molecule: non-coding RNA, 148 nt
Filed under: Chlorocebus sabaeus (green monkey)
Lineage: Eukaryota; Metazoa; Chordata; Mammalia; Primates; Cercopithecidae
Source: Rfam by way of RNAcentral
GCUGGGUGUGGUGGUGCACACCUGUAAUCCCAGCUACUCGGGAGGCUGAGGCAGGAGAAUUGCUUGAACCCAGGAGGCAGAUGUGGCAGUGAGCCAAGAUUGUGCCACUACACUCCAGCCUGGGCAACAGAGCGAGACUUUGUCUCAA